CGUCUUCGGCUUGAGGGAGGGGGAGGACAAGCAGAUGCCAGACGGAGGACGCCAUCGGCGGCGGCGGCGGCGGCUCGGAGUCGGAGUUGAUGACGAGUUCGUCGGAGGGAGGCAAUCGGACGGAGGGCAGAAGUUGCCGAGAGACCAACGCGAGCACAAACUCGAUCUCCGCGUUGGAAACAGUCGGAGGCGAAGGUUUGAGGAACCAGCUGCGACUGGCGGGGCUCUUGGAGGAGGCGACGUGCCAGAGGUAGAUGACCGGCGAGGCUUUUUGGAGAG
Molecule: long non-coding RNA, 279 nt
Filed under: Eucalyptus grandis
Lineage: Eukaryota; Viridiplantae; Streptophyta; Magnoliopsida; Myrtales; Myrtaceae
Description: long non-coding RNA (EGRA_LNC007146)
Source: RNAcentral